CACGUAGGGUGCGAGCGUUGUCCGGAAUUAUUGGGCGUAAAGAGCUCGUAGGCGGUGUGUCGCGUCGGCCGUGAAAACCUGCAGCUUAACUGUGGGCUUGCGGUCGAUACGGGCAUCACUGGAGUUCGGCAGGGGAGACUGGAAUUCCUGGUGUAGCGGUGAAAUGCGCAGAUAUCAGGAGGAACACCGGUGGUGAAGGCGGCAUCCUGGACCGGUAUUGACGCUGAGGCGCGAAAGCGUGGGGAGCAAACAGG
RNAcentral lists this ribosomal RNA (254 nucleotides) under uncultured bacterium. Its description in RNAcentral is "partial 16S ribosomal RNA". It matches the Rfam family "Bacterial small subunit ribosomal RNA", at positions 524 to 776 of the family's 1533-position model. The record is from RNAcentral.